RNAcentral lists this ribosomal RNA (590 nucleotides) under Pseudomonas sp. RNAcentral describes it as "bacterial SSU rRNA". It matches the Rfam family "Bacterial small subunit ribosomal RNA", at positions 77 to 663 of the family's 1533-position model. Lineage: Bacteria; Pseudomonadati; Pseudomonadota; Gammaproteobacteria; Pseudomonadales; Pseudomonadaceae. The record is from RNAcentral.
AGCUUGCUCCUGGAUUCAGCGGCGGACGGGUGAGUAAUGCCUAGGAAUCUGCCUGGUAGUGGGGGACAACGUUUCGAAAGGAACGCUAAUACCGCAUACGUCCUACGGGAGAAAGCAGGGGACCUUCGGGCCUUGCGCUAUCAGAUGAGCCUAGGUCGGAUUAGCUAGUUGGUGAGGUAAUGGCUCACCAAGGCGACGAUCCGUAACUGGUCUGAGAGGAUGAUCAGUCACACUGGAACUGAGACACGGUCCAGACUCCUACGGGAGGCAGCAGUGGGGAAUAUUGGACAAUGGGCGAAAGCCUGAUCCAGCCAUGCCGCGUGUGUGAAGAAGGUCUUCGGAUUGUAAAGCACUUUAAGUUGGGAGGAAGGGUUGUAGAUUAAUACUCUGCAAUUUUGACGUUACCGACAGAAUAAGCACCGGCUAACUCUGUGCCAGCAGCCGCGGUAAUACAGAGGGUGCAAGCGUUAAUCGGAAUUACUGGGCGUAAAGCGCGCGUAGGUGGUUUGUUAAGUUGGAUGUGAAAUCCCCGGGCUCAACCUGGGAACUGCAUCCAAAACUGGCAAGCUAGAGUAUGGUAGAGGGUGGUG